Molecule: long non-coding RNA, 220 nt
Filed under: Elaeis guineensis (African oil palm)
Lineage: Eukaryota; Viridiplantae; Streptophyta; Magnoliopsida; Arecales; Arecaceae
Description: long non-coding RNA (EGUI_LNC079261)
Source: RNAcentral
AUUGCUAGAUGGUCACUUUGAUUAGUACAGAAAUUGGUUCCUGUGCUACUGGCUUAGGUUCGAACCUACGGGGUCACACACAUUAGAGGUUCCUAUCUGAUCUGAUAGCUGGUGAAGAGUCCUUCAUGUCUGAGAUUCUGUGAUCGAGAAUCAGGAUUCUCUGAUCAUGAAUUCCACACAUUUUGGGUACCGGGGUCAAGAGUCCCACUGGUUUAGGACU